UACGUAGGGGGCAAGCGUUGUCCGGAUUCAUUGGGCGUAAAGAGCGUGUAGGCGGCCAGGUAGGUCGGUUGUGAAAACUGGAGGCUCAACCUUCAGAGGUCGACCGAAACCAUCUGGCUAGAGUCCGGGAGAGGAGAGUGGAAUUCCUGGUGUAGCGGUGAAAUGCGCAGAUAUCAGGAAGAACACCCGUGGCGAAAGCGGCUCUCUGGAACGGUACUGACGCUGAGGCGCGAGAGCGUGGGGAGCGAACCGG
RNAcentral lists this ribosomal RNA (253 nucleotides) under uncultured bacterium. RNAcentral describes it as "partial 16S ribosomal RNA". It matches the Rfam family "Bacterial small subunit ribosomal RNA", at positions 524 to 776 of the family's 1533-position model. The record is from RNAcentral.